UCGGAGACAAGGAUAGUACGAAAGGCGGGGAAUGGAUUAGGAAAGACGGAAGGAAGCAGACGACAGUGUUGAUUAUGAAUGAUGAAAGCGACCAACACACAUUCAUUCAUUCGUUCAUAUACUUCUUGACCACCGUCACUGUGUCACUGUUUCUAUUCUUCACUCUUUUAUUACCUUUCUUUCAUCUUCCUCAUUGCUCAUGGCCAUGGUGCCACGUAACUUGGACCACUUCAACUCUUUUUCUGGUGGGUCAUCACUCAUAUGUUGCAUCUCAAAACCAAGGAGAAUAAGCUAUUCUCUGUAAUUUAAUGGCCUCG
This 317-nucleotide long non-coding RNA is filed under the name Vigna radiata. RNAcentral's name for it is "long non-coding RNA (VRAD_LNC002224)". Lineage: Eukaryota; Viridiplantae; Streptophyta; Magnoliopsida; Fabales; Fabaceae. The record is from RNAcentral.